AAGCAUUGUUAGAAGCGCUAACCUUCACCUUGCUUUCUGAGGUUUUUUGACCCUGCUUUAUUCAUUUGAUUUUUCCCUGUCUUGUCGGUCUGGUGUCCCUGUUUUUGCCCUCUCUGUCUGCCUGAUAACUCUAGGACUCUGGGGAGUUUGUCUGUCCUGUUCUCUCUCUUGCUGAGGCCAGCACCAACUAGCAGCCGACUCGGCUCACCUCUCUCUCGGCUUGGACGCUGGACUCCACUGCGGGCUCGUCACUUUCCCUCGCCGCUGUCUGGCUGAUGCCGGUGAAGUCUUCCUGACGGAGUGCUGGCGGUUUCGUUAUCCUCAGAUCUAAUAAACUCUUAAUUCGUUCAUCCGCAGUUGGAUCCUGGUCUCGUUUCUCACAGUUAUUAAAGAGACCACACACACAAACACUCAGUUAUGCAAACUGUAUCUAACCCAAACUGCUGGAUUAUUGGAAUAAAUCAAUGCUUGAGAACGGAAGCUGUCUCGAAUUUUUGCCUAUAAACCUUCUGAUCGAGGUUGAGGAUUAGAUGUCGGCCAACCAGUGCAUCCAAGCACAUAUAUCUUUAACAAGAACAUUUCUUUUUGUUCAUGAUUAAGGUUCUCGUAAUGCAUGGCUACAGUAUAUUCAUGGCGAGAACAAAUUAAUUUAUAUGCAAGUUAAUCCACACAAGUUGAUCUAGACACACGCGUGUUGGGAGAAGGGAAAUUUCACAUCUUCUGUGAACCUCACCUGCAUGUUAUUUUGGACUGUGGGAGGAAACCGGAGUAAACCCACUGACACAGUAAAACUGACACAGGGAGAACAUGCAAACUUCACACAGAAAGACCUCCUGACCCAGUCUCAUACCAGGAACCUUCUUACUUUGAGGCAACAGUGCUACCAACUUAGCCAUGUGAUUUGUUUUGAUGUGAUUGAUGUGAUUUGUACCUGAUAAUUGUUCUUGACGUAAAAAAAAAAAAAAAAAGUUCUUAUAACAACAUUCUCAGAACAUAUUUGAAUGUUCAAGUACAUGUUAAUUGAUCAUGUUAAAAUAAAA
Long non-coding RNA from Cyprinus carpio carpio, 1040 nucleotides. The record is from Ensembl. NCBI's taxonomy places the organism in Eukaryota, Metazoa, Chordata, Actinopteri, Cypriniformes, Cyprinidae.